AAAAUUCUGGAUAUUCUUUUUUGAUUAAAAUUUUUACUUGAUUUUUUAAAAUAAUUUCUCUCCUAGGAUUCUUCAUCUUCUUACUCAUUAUGACUAUAUUUUCCUCUUGUAUAUAAGCACAUUUAUAGCUGUUAAUGUCCUUGUUUGCUGAUUCCAACAUGUAUGUCAUCUUAAGUUUCUUUUCUAGUUGCUUACUUACCUCUGGGCUGUGGCCCACAUUUUUUUAUUUCUAUGCAUUGUAAUUCUUUUUUAUUGUAGGCUGGAGAUUAAAUAUAUUACAUUACAGGGAGUCUGCAUUAUGUUGUCUUUCUUUAAAUAAAGUUUUUAUAUGAGAAUAACAUAAGCUUUAUAGAAGAGUUUCGAAGGUAGUACAUAGAAUUUUUUUCAUACCCAUCGCCUCAUUUCUUCUAAUUUUUUUUUUUUCUGCUUGCUCUGGCGUUUAUUACAGCAAGCAAACCUCACCGCCUCAACCUCACAGCUAUAAACUAGGAUGUGAACCCCCGAAAGCCUAUAUAAACAGCUAAAAUAAUGGUUAUCAACCCUGGAGACUGAAGCUCUCCAGCCAGUCUUUUAAAUGUUUAGAACAGGGACGCCCGGGUGGCUCAGUGGUCGAGCCUCUGCCUUGGGCCCAGGGCGUGAUCCCGGCGUCCUGGGAUCGAGCCCUACGUGGGGCUCCCUGCUAGGAGCCUGCUCCUCCCUCUGCCUGUGUCUCUGCCUCUCUCUGUGUCUCUCAUGAAUAGAUACAAUCUUUGAAAACUAAAAUAAAAAGAUGAAUGUUUAGAACACUUCUGAGAAGCCCUGUUCGCUGGUGGCCCAGCCUAUUCACAGGCAACCACUGGGAAACACCGAGAAGGUCUCUCAGAAGGCGGCUUAAGCGUGUUACAAGCAGCGUGCAGUGGGGAGGCAGCAAGUUGCAAACGCUCGAAAGCCCCUGAGGCACACGGUGGAAAGCCCGAGGCUCGUCGUCGUGCGAACCACGAACCACAGAGCGUGACUGCGUGACCGCGGGUGGGCAUCCUCGCUCCAACGCGCUCGGGCCUGCCUGCCCCCGACGCAGGAGCCUCGGGCCGCGGACCGGGGCCUGCAGACCUCGGCGUCCCGGAAGCCUGGUUUCGUUACCCCUCGGCUACUCAGGUUCCGAGGGCUCUCGCUUAGGAGGAGAUGGGAGGUGGACAGAAAACCUCCAUACGCCGACAAUAUGAACGUCCCGGCGCUUCCGUAACUCGGAAGAACCCCGUGUGAGGAGGUCUGGCGAAGGCGGCGCGGAAUCCACGGCGCAAACUCUGGAGACGAAUUUCCUCAGGCGCCGCGUCUAGGGCGGCGCAGGCCGGAGAGCCCCGGUGCCCCGAGGCGGAGGCCGUUUCUCCGGAUGUCGGCGUCUUAGGUAACGCCCGCACCGGCAUCAGAAGGAAGAAUCAAUGACUGCUCCGCCAUGACUAGUGAGCUGCAGGGUUUCUUUGAAUUUCACCGGUUUUUCACUCAUGUUCUUUUUCUGUUCCGGGACCUUGGACACCAUCUUGCUCAUGUUUUCUUGAUCCUCUCUGGACAUUUUGCAGAACUCAUUUCUGCAAAGGCUGCAAAGCAGAAUGCUAGUGUGUUUCUAAGCUGCAGAACAAGACAUCAGUGCUAUUUUAUUUCAGCUGUCCUGUCCAUAUUUUCUUAUUGGGGACCCUAGCCCUGACUACCUGUCCAACUAACUAACUCCUAACAGAAGAAAGUAACUAAAGUUAAUUAGGUCAUUAUGGUGGGGUCCUGAUCUGAUAGAAUUAGUGCCCUUAUAAGAAGAGCCACCAGAGAGUGUGCAGGCUCCCUUUCUUCCUACAAAAGUGCGCUGAGGAAAGGCUACGGAGCACCAUGGUGAGAAGGCCACUGCAGCCCAACGGAGGAGUUCUCACCAGAUACCAACCCUGCCAGCAGCUUCAUCUUGAACUUCCAGUGUCCAGAAAUUGGUCUACUGAACCCCAAGCCCAGAAUGACUACAGACCACAGCCAAAAGUUUCUUCUGGCAGGUCCCCUCUCUCACGCCAUGUGGCAAUAGCUUUGGGAUUUCUGAACACUAUUCUUGUGUGUUUCCUGCUUGUUCAGUGGAUUCUCUGCCAGGGUUCCAAGUGCAACACGUGUACCAGUUGUUAUAGUUGCCCUGACCUCUGGAUGAGGUAUGGUAACCAUUGUUAUUACUUCUCAGUGGAGAAAAAAGACUGGAAUUCUAGUCUGGAAUUCUGCUUAGCUGAAGACUCACAUCUCCUUAUGUUCACAGACAACCAAGAAAUGCAGUCUCCUGGAGGAGAGCUCUUUAUUAAUCCUAGAGCAUCUCAAGCAUAUCCUAUGAAACAGGAUUCAACAUCUCCAUUUACUGAUGAAUGAGUGGUUAAUGAACAAGAGUUAGUGACAAAUAGCCUGCUUAAAAAUUUCCUCAGAAAGGACUACUACUGGAUUGGUCUCAGGAACAGUUCUGGUUGGAGGUGGGAAGAUGGAUCAGCCUUAAACCACUCAAGUAUUCUCUCAAACAGCUUGAUACAGAAGUGUGGUACCU
Molecule: RNA transcript, 2533 nt
Organism: Canis lupus familiaris (dog)
Lineage: Eukaryota; Metazoa; Chordata; Mammalia; Carnivora; Canidae
Gene: KLRG1
Gene name: killer cell lectin like receptor G1
Exons: 9
Source: RefSeq, a predicted model, not a curated record